AAAUGAGAUAAUCUCCGAUGAUACUACAGAAACCUACAUACUGCUUUCUACUACAAACUGCAAAUUAUCCAAUGAUUUGCAAAGAGUUUUCCAAAAAAUUCACUAGAGGGUCGUCUUCCGCCAGUUCGAAGAGUUUCUUUUGUUCUGGGUAAUUACUUCUAUUGAGGAGUUGCAUCAGUGAUAUUAGCAGAUAUUAGUGCUGCGAACGGAGAUUUAGGAAUUUAUUAUAAUUUAUAUUUUAUUGGCAAUGCCGCUCCAGUAUUGCGAAACUGACUACUAGGAAUCACAAAGGCGAUCGAAUUCAAUUUGUCUCCUUUCUUCCCAAAUCCUCUUCACCAUUUUGAAAACUGUAACAAUCACCUUUGAAUGUAAUUUCUUAUCUUAUCUUAUCUAAAACUGACCUAAACGAUUGCGAGAAUGGAAGACGAGACUUCACGCGGAUGGCGCAGACCAAUAAAUUCGAGAAUGCGAACGACCAUUCCAAUAGAGAUCCGCUGAACAGGUGUGAUUUCGCGGUCUAUGAAACACAAGGUUGUGGACCAUCGAAGUGAUCGUUUGUCCCAAUGCGACGUUAACUCGAUCAGCCUCGUAGUAUUGGUCGAUUUGGCGCCUUUGAGUUGGCCCAAUAGUCGUGCAAACUCCUGGCUAGUCAAGUUUCCGUAAAUUUGCGGAGAACACAUCGAAAUUACAGAUACUGCCCUUGCAAUCUGGAGAGAGUCCUUAGCACAACAGCAACAACAAAUGAAGGGAUUGUUUGGUUCGAAUGAGCAGGCGCUGUCGAAAGUAUUGCGACCCUGUUCGAAUGAAUCCGAAAAUGUAGUCUAAUUUUUUUGACAAAGUUGCAAUGGCGUAAGUAUAUUGAAAGAUGUCCUAUUAAAAAAUGAUAAUGAAAUCAACUGAUAUUGUUCUUUUAAUCCUUUUAGUUUCGGGAAGGUAAUUUUUUAUUUUUGAUCUUCUAUCACUCUACGAAUAAAACCAUCAAUAAGAUCAGAGUAAGAAAAAAAAAAACGAUUUCGAUUUGACCACGCAAGCCUUUGUUAGAAUCAGGAUUCAUAUUUCGAAGAUAUAUAAUAUUUUCGAUCUCGCGUGCGAUACUCCAGUGGAAUCUUCACGCGUAAUCACGCAUUAUCGCACGAGUGUUUACUUUCGAGCGCAUACACGCUUUCGCGUACACAUACACACAUCUCGCUGAUGCAUGCAGAAAUUUGGAUUUGUGUACACAUAGGCGAAGCACCAGCGCAUACACACACGUACGCACACGUGAAAGGUGUGCAUCGGGGAGAUUUCGUACAGCCGGUACCAGAUUGAUUUGGUUUACCGCUAUCCCGUUUCCCUCCUGCUGGAAAUCAGAGAGAGAAGGAGAAGGGUGCUGGUGGAUCCCCGCCCUGGAUUUUCCGCCGGCAAGUCGCGGCGAGGAAGGGUGUUUACUCAAGACACGACAAUUCAUUACGUAAUUGAAUUGAAUGAGCCCUCUCCUUCGUUCCGCGUCGCCCCCAUCCUCUUCCGAAGCGUUCGGCUCGAACGUGUACGCGUGCGAAUGCUCAGGCACGCGUGUGCGUGGUCUACGCGAGCCGAGGGGUGGACCGGGAUUCAGAGUCGGAUUAAGGAUUGAAAGGACCCCCUGGAGCCCGACGUAAUUCAAGAAGUUCUUUUACGAAAGCGCACGUCGCUUUGAAACGGAGUCGUCUUGGACAUUGCCACGCAGGAUUUUGCUACGUCCCUGGGACACCGUGACCUCCCUCCUCCCGUUCAUCGUCGUCGUCGUCGUCGACACCGCACGGCGUCUACGGUCCUCUUCUCCGAGGCCGGGGAAAUCCGAAGGCUGGGACCAACCGGAGGGGCUGGUAGCGAGAGCGACCGAAUUAAACGAUUAGUUAAACUGAUUUCGAGUUAGGCGAAUGAAUAAGUAAUCGGAUUUCUCGUUAAGGUAAUCGCAUUGCGCCCUGAUUGGCUCCGUCUGCCUGCGUUAUAGGCCGCACUCCCGGCAUUUUGCCCCUCUCUGCAUCCCGUUUACCCCCGUCCACGUCGACGUACCGUUCCCUCCUGCCCCUUCUCUCUGUCUCUCUCUCUCUCUCUCUCUUUCUCUCUCUCUCUCUCUCUCUUUGUCUGCUGGAAGGGCGAAGAGAGGGUGUCCUCUCAUCGUUUGCACGAGGGUGUCCUCGCGCAUUCCCAUUGUCGCCGUCUCAUCUCCCAGAAAUUGAGAAGUGCGAGUGUUUCAAAUAAUAUACACAUGCUGACAUUUCUAUUCACAUUGCCUAUCACAUCAUCUCAUUAUCUAUCAUUUACUUCAAUUACAAUCGUUUAAUUAGCACGACUGACACUGCAUCAAAUGUCUUUCAAAAUUAAAAAAAAAGAGCGUUCUUUGAUACAUUUGGUACUGCUUUCAUUGAGACACUUUUUAGUCUUAUCUUUCAUUUUAUUUCAUUUAUUCUUUCUUUGAUUUCAUAUGUCAGUAAUCAAAGAUUCUUUUUUCUUUGAUCCCGUACAGAUUUUAAGACCAUAAAAAAUUCCCAUGAAAAAAUGUGAAGAAUGGCAAACUGACAGUGUUUCAGUCCCAUUUAAAUAUUGCCGAGUUUGGCGGCGACAAACACGGGGACACAUGUCUCAGGGUCGCAUUUGCCUGUCGCAAGGAGAGAUUUGUGGCGUACCGAGAGUGUGCGCGGGAGGACAACUUCUGUAGAUUUAAUAUCGCACUAAACGAUGCAGAUUCAGCGAUACCCGGAAGACAGGAAAUACUGGGUGCCUUCUCUCUCUUCGGCGAGACUGCGCAACAAACGUGACGUAUUUUAUCGGAAACGAUAAAUCGCUCUUGAGAAAUCGAGAUUGGCAAGAAGGAAAUCGAAUUUACGUCGAGCCAAUAUACAUCAUCCUGACGGCUUUGAGAAUUUACUUACGCAUCGCCGAAAAGGAAGACAAGGAGAGAACAAAAGGAGAAAGAUAGAAGAAACGUUACCGGUGAGAAGAGAAGUGGAUAUUGAAACGGAGAAAUGUAUAGGAGCUGAGAGAGCGAGGCAGCAUGUGACAGAAGAAAUGCACUUGUCACAAAUAACUUGCAGGGCCGCUUUAUCUACAUCGUAAUCCCUUUCAGAUUUAUUUUUGUUUGAAGACUUCUAUGAAAUCUUUUAUACGUAUCUUUUAUACAUAUAUUUUGUAUUUUUACGUACUUUAUGAUUAAAAUGAUUGAUAAUUGGCACUUUUAAAAAAUUACUAGUUAUUUUACAAAAUAUUGAAUUCUGACAAGUCUACGUAAAGACAUAGUCAAUAACUUCAAUCGUUUUGAACAUGUACUGUAGUAGAUUCUUUGCUGCUGUGAGAUUUAACAUAAAUAUUAAAAAAAAAGAAAAAGAUUAUCUGGAAAUAUAAAAUAAGCAGGAAACAAUUUAUAAAAAAUAGAAUUUUGUAAUCAUAAUGCAAUUUACAUACAUACGUAAUUCGUGUUAUUCUACGCGAUUUAUCGGGAAGAAGAUAACGUGUCCAAAAUUUCCGAGUUCGUAAAAUAACUCUCUUUUCAGACCCGGCGUAGAAAGUCGACGAUCCGACGACCGAUAACGAGGUAGGACAAAAAAGGAAAAGCUUCGACCGCGGAAGGCAUGGGAUUAAUUACCGCGUGCCCGCGGCGGCGGCAGCGGCGGCGGCGGCCUGUUUCUGUCUCAGGUAAAUAGAGCGGCCCUGGGUGAUCGUACGGGGCGCAGAGGAGGAUGCGGGAAACAGCAGGGUAGUCGCCAAACGGCGUUCUACCCCCGGCCGGCGGCGAGGGGUAGUUUCGCCGCGAGCCGUUUCCGCGGCGGGCGGAAAAGCGGGCGCAAAUGCUAAUGAGCGUCGGUUUGGGGGUAGAUCGUGCCUGCCUCCCGGAAGAGGACGAGGGGCUGCGAGCUCCGGAACGUGUUUCGGCCGAGGCGAGAAGGAGGGAGAAGCUGCGAGAGGUACCGCGGGGCGUUUCCAUCACGCCCAUUCGCAUGCGGAUUGGCCGGCGGCCGAAUGGCGUCCUGGUGGACGCGUGGCGUCGGAACGCCGACGUCGGGAUGUGCCUCCCGUCGACGUGUCUCCCCGGCGACGGCUCUCUCUGGCGACGGCGGCGGCGAGUGCCGUCGGUGCCGAGGCGCGACGUCGCGCGCGAGAGUCGCCCCGAUAACCGUGAGGAUGGAGCAGCUCGCCCAGUUCGUCUCCAAGAGCUUCGACAACGCGGCGGCGGUGGUAGCGGCUACGACGAACGUCGAGGCUGCCGCCGGCUGCAGGGCGGCCGCCGCCGGCGGCAGGAUCACGCUCAGUGUCGCGCAUCUCAUCGGUGAUCACGUCGCGGACGAUGGCGACCGGCGUACGUAUGAAGCGGCGCAAGAGACCACGGCUAGCGUCGUCGAGACGAGCGGAAGCGUCGAAGAGCCGCCGUCGCCGGAAGGUCGGCUGCAACCGGAGGAUCUCUCCGUCACGGCCAAGAUCAAGGACAUCCGGAACACGGCAGAGAGCCUGCCACCCCUGAAGACGCCCGAGCUCAAGCUGUCGGUUCGCAAAUUGCUCGGAUGUACCCCUUCGCCGCCGCCCAUAUCGAGGGAUCGAUCACUCAGUCCAGAGAAUUGCGUCGAAUUAAAAAGUCAAAGCUCGAAUGAAAGCAAAGCUCUCGUAUCCUCAAACGAGGCUAAGGUGUCCUCGCAAAUUACAAGGUCGAGCGGACUAAAUCAAGAGGACUCCGUUAAGGGAUCCAAUUGUCGGAGCAACGGAAGUGGCAAUGGUAAGCAGAGGAGAUCGCGGACGAACUUCACUAUUGAGCAACUGGCCGAACUCGAGAGGCUCUUCGACGAGACACACUAUCCCGACGCGUUUAUGAGGGAGGAGCUGAGCCAGCGGCUUGGUCUCAGCGAGGCGCGGGUACAAGUUUGGUUCCAGAAUCGACGCGCCAAGUGUCGUAAACACGAGAGUCAGUUGCACAAAGGUGUCGCCGGGAGCAUGGUGCUGGCGCCGCGUAGCCCGCCGACGACGUUGGAACCGUGUCGAGUCGCUCCUUACCUGCCAGCCCUCAGGUUGCAUCCACCGCCGAUGCAGGGAACGGCCGCAAACGUCACGGUAGGAUCGGCCUUCGACCCGGCGGUGCUGCACUACGCGGCGGCCGGGGGCCUUUUCUGUUUGCCGCCACCGCCGCCGCCCCCGGCGCCGUCGGCCGGUCAUCCUCAUCCGCUGAGCCUGGCGGCAUCGCUGGCCGCUGCGGCGGCUCGCUCGAAGAACAGCAGCAUCGCGGAUCUCAGGCUGAAGGCGAGACGGCACCAGGAAGCCUUGGGGCUCGAUAGGCCUGCGUAAGGUCUGCAGCAUGGUACGUCUUGGACGAAGAGAGACUCGAUCGGGGAUGAAGAGGUGCGAGGUUGUCGUGAGACGGUGAGUACUCUCAGAUUCAGAGAGAAGAUUCUCGUCGAAAUGUGACUUAGAACGACACGAAAGGAAGAUAGUGACCGACCCACAUUGUGAUCGCGGUGAGUUCAAUUUUCGAGACGUAGAGAAGACACAUUAUUUUACGCCAAAGUGAAUUCUUGCUCAUUAUCGUCACUUGUUAAGACUUUACGGGCAGCUACUUAUCUACAAUUUUUCUUUAUGAAAACUUUAAUUAAAAUUCUCAAAAAUUUUAAUUAUGUAUCUUGUUCUCCGUAUCAUUUUAGAAAUGUUAGUUAUUUGUAUUUGAUUAAAAUUAUAUGUUGCGCAUGUACUAUGCAGGAAUUCGCUCGCGUAUAAAAUAUUAAAAGCGACACAUGUGCAUUCCUUCAUCCGCGACGUGCCGAAGAGUCUGAGAAGUACAAAGGACACUUAUAUAAUGUGUAUAAAGUACAGGAAGGGCGACGGGAAACAUGUAACAUACAUAAUGUAUACAGAAUCGGGAAUCUCGCUUGUAUCUCGAUUAGCGUAUUCUAUGUCGAAGAACUGUGAUGUAAAACCGCGAAGUUUAAUCAGCACCGACAUAACUUAGGGAGGUAACAAUUGUAAAGUUUCAUCAUUGAUUCUUGAACCAGUUCUCAUCUCAAGUUCGGGGUUGUUUCGUUCGGAGCGGAAGUUAAUGCAGUUUUGCGUAUGCUCACGCGUGUGUGAGGACACGUUCAAAUGGAACGCGUUUGUCGAAAGGGUACUUGUCAACGUGGUAAUUCAGAAAAAAACAUCAAAGUACAUCCAGAUACUUUGAUGAGAUAUAUACGAAAAGUAUUAAGGAUUUUCUGAAAUACAUUUUGUUAACAAAUCUAACUUUUGCCAUUUGUGUCAAUCGGCAAGUUUGAGAAACAAUAAGACGCAGAGAGAUCAUGGACCAACCGUAAAAGGAUCUCUAAGGAGUUAUUUCUAAGAUUUAAGCAAUUUCCGCGGGCGGUAUUAGUCUACGGUGAAAUUUAGGAAGUGUCGAGAUCACUGACCAUCGAAGUAAAAGGAGACGUACGUCUCUUCCAAGAAUAGAUUUCGGUCGCAACAGUUUCUUACCGGCGAUAUUAGUCCACGAGGGAAUACGAGGAAAUUUCAAGACGCGCCAGGAUCGCUGACCAACCGCGGGCGGGAAUUAUAGAUCGCCGCGUCCUGGCAGCGGCUUGCAAGACAUAACUCUUGUAGAUGAUUCACGGGCGGGUGGAUGGACGCCGGACGAUUUCACGCGUUUGUCGCCGGCGAGCGAGUGAGCGAGCGAGCGAGCGAGACGGGGGACGGUGGACGGCAUCGCCGUCGGGGCGCUAAUGCAAUAACGCGCGGCUACGCGGAUAAAUCAAGCCAGGCGAACCGCUCGAGCGGUGGCUGUGCUGUGCUGUGCCGUGCCGUGUCGAGCCAGUGCCGCGCCGCGUAAUCGCGUUACCCCGGUCGUCCCCGGGGCGCCGUUAUUGUCCCCGAAACCCCUUGCCCUCGGAACGGAGGAUGAGGUGCUCCGAAAGUCGCACGUUCCUCGAGUCCGAUAAUUUGUUCGACUUAUCUCCGUGUAAAUCGCUGAACGCGAGACUUGUUCCUUAUCUAUUUCAUUAGCGAGAAAAAGUAAGAGACUUAUGAUAUCGUACCUCGAAUACGAAAGCACUGAGAGUCCUUGGUGUUAAAUAUUGCUGUCGUAUGUAACACGGGGUUAUAUUGAUGUCUGCCGUAUCGGGAACAAGUUACGGAAGCUCACUGCUAUAUCAAAUCGCGAUGAAACGUCUUCCACUGCAUUUUCGCGGAAAAAUCAAUCAUGCAUCUCAGAGGAGGGUUGUAAUCGCUUUAACACAGAUUUAUUCCGGCCAUCCCCGGGGCGUCGUUAUCGUCCGUGUACGUCGAAGCAACGUCGCGUGGCGGUGAUUUGAUUAGCGACUUUAAUUAAAAAGAACGCUGGCGCACACCGACCGCUUCAACGUAUACGACCCAUAUAUGCUGAACUUUUUAUGGGCGUUGUAUAUAAAAAAAGAAAUACCUAUAAUUCGGUCGCUUUACGAUCGCAGGAUUGAUUAUGCAACAUAACUUACGGUCUCAUAAACUGACAUCGAAUUUUUCACGAUAAAAUUUUCUAAUAUACAGAUUAGUGGAUUUUCAUUGGAUCAAUUCAAUUAUAACGUAUUUGAAAUAUAAUAUAUGGUCGGCUGCAUAUGUGUUAAAACAGACAGAUCAACGUACUUCUACUGUAAAUCAUUGUUGAAGAUUAAUUGAAGUGAUUUAUUUAAUUAUAUACUCUCUAAAUUGCAAUUAGUGUAUUUUCACUGAUUUGCAGUGAUAUACUCAUAACUGUGAUAAUUAGUGAUUAUCUACUGACUUUUAGUGAUUUUUAUUGCAAAAUUAGCGUAUAAUCACUGAAAGAUCGGUGCAUUUAUUUCACUAAUUGCAUGACAAGUUAUAAGUAUACCACUGAAAUCAGUGUAUUUUCAUUGGUUUCAGUGAUUUUUCACUAAUUGUAAUUUAGAGAGUAAAAAGAUCGACGAAUAGAUAGACGCCGGUUCAGUUGCCUGUGUAAUCAAUUUUUAAUUAUCUGUCAAUUUUAAGAAUUUUUGAAUAUUUAUCUUUAUUUAGUAUAAAUAUAUUGGAUGUUUAACAUUUUCAAACAUUUUGAAUGCGGAGCAAUAUAAAAAUGGAUCGAAUUAUCACUAUCAUUGAUGAUCACUCAUAUUGCAAGAGCAAUAAACAGAAAUAAAGUAACAAUAAUUUGGGACACCUAUGUUUGCAUAACGAUAAAAAUAAUGACGCUUCACUUCAUCAGCAGGGACAUAAUAAUAAAAGUGCAAGGCCAGGGCCAAGGGCCGUGUUCGCCCUUCUACCUUCGGUGACGCUAAAAUAAAAUAAAACCCUCUCGUAUCCCCGGGAUAAUUCGAAGGGAACCGAAGGCUCCUCUUUCUCUUCCCUUUCCCUUCGCUCAUUUUAAUCCGAGUUUUAAGAAGUUUUUCCUAUUGCUCGUAAAUUGGCCGUCGUUUGUCUGGCCGGGGUCACGUGGGGCCAGCAAGGGGUGGAAACCACCCUCGGGAUAUUCUCCCCACUAUAGCGAGAUCCUGUUGUUCGCACAUUGCGCAUUCGUAACAAGCGAGUGGGGGAACGAAAACUCGUAACUGCGAUAUAAUGUUCCGCGAAAACCAGCUACCAUCAUCAAUUAUCUCCGCCCCCUCGACCCCUCCAAAUGGAUGAAACGAGAAAUAAUCGAGAAAUACGCGGAGAGGACGAUUCGUUUUUGAGAUUUCUUGAGGACGCUGCGUAAGAUAUAUAAAUAAUGGCAGUAACAAUAUUAUUAAGAAAAAGUAAGGUUUUAUAUAACAUAAUUAUAUAUACAUAUAUGUAAUGUUUCUGAAAAAUUAGGAUAGACUUAAAAAUUAUUAAUACCUCUAUUUGAAACAAGAAACUUUCAAUACAGUGACUACUUAAAACACAAAUUAUCUUUCUUUGAUAAUAUUUAUUUAAAAUUUCUUUCAAAUAGAAUUUGAUUGCACAUCUUAUGUUAAAUUAUUUUAUUGUUUGGCUUGAAAAUUACCGUGAAAAUGCAAUAACGCCUGGCCGGAUCAUCGGUGCCGGAAAAAUUCGCAACAGAUCAAUCCUACAAUUCCGACGGCGCGAUCGAGGGGGAUGGGUGGGACGGAUGCUGCGCGAGAUUUGGAAAUAAUUCAGCCCCGCGUACUGACUGGCGGGCCAAGGGGCCGCUUGCUCCUUCCGGCCCCCGCGUGCCUUAAUCUAAUCCAAGGAUAAUCUAAAAUUCAUGACACACAUAACUGCCAGGCGAUGAUAUAUCUGGCGGGGGUGUAAAGGCAGCGUCUUCUCCAUUCCGCCGCCGUCUCCCCCUCCCCCUCCCCCGCUUACUAUACCCUCUUCGCCGUUCUUGUAGCUUGCAGUUCGCCUCGGUGGGCACCCAACAGCAAUCACUGGCAUUAUUAUUUAAUGCGAACGCGCGUGGUGGCGUAUAUACCGACCAACUACCCAUACAUCGUGAUAUUGUAAGACCUGCUGCUGGAUGCUGUUUAUCUCGUAAGAGGAAUUACCAGCUCGAUACAACCGCCAAUUGAUUUUUCUUUUCAAAGACAUGUUCUAAAACAUGUUGAAUUAAACGACUUGAUCGCACAUCAGGGCGCCAUUUAUAACAUCCUUGUUUAGAAAGAUUUAUAUUGUUUAAGCACAGUAGAACUUUUACUCGAGAAAUACCAUGUGGAUUAAGGAACAUAAUUUGAAAGAUCAAUCUUUAAAGCUGCGUUACAAAGAUAGUGGAAUAUUUUAUCUCAGGUAAUCAAUUUCACUUACGUUUUUAAUUUAAUAAUCAAUUCUGCGUUUUAUUUCAGCUUAUGUAAAACAGAAUCUAAUCAGUUUUUCCGGUUACAAAUGGUUUUGUAAAACGUUCGAAAACUCAAUCCUAAACGCAGCAUCCACUUAUGCUAAGAACUUCGCUGUUUCUACUGAAUUAAUCGACUCGUGCGCAAUCAUCCGCGUACCCUUUCCGACGACCACGAGCAACGUUCGAGCCCGAUGGAAGUCGAUAAUCCGGGGAAUGCAGUCCGCGCCUUUACGAUGGGGUGAGAUGCACGCAAAUGGACCGAGGGUGGUCACGCGCCGGUGAUAAGAAAAGAGAAGAGCGAUAAACUAGAGAGAGAGAGAGAGAGAGAUAGCGAAAAAGUGGAGGAAACGAGGAGCUAAACGCGAGUUUCCGCCCCUCCGGGCAGAUCCGAUGCGGAAUCAAUUCGCGUAAUAGUUCCGAGGCGGGGGAGGAUGGCUCGGGAGGAGAGGGUGGCAGGAGAGCUAAAUCGACUGACGGUCGCAAGGGUGGGUUAAGCGAGAGCUCGGAUACGGGCCAUUACCACACCUGUCCCUCAACUUCGACUUCACGAGAGGGAGAGGAGAGCCCGAAGCUCUAAUGAAGAGAAGCAAUCACUUAAGCUGGCCCGCCAUAUACCCGGUGUGCCGAUACGGGAUACGGCAUGGUUUUAUUUGCGUGGCUCCGAUGCGCUUUUACGACUCACUCCGGGGAGUGUUCGACGGGACGCGAGCGAAUAGGACACGGAGCGUGUCCCGUGUUCGCCGAUCCGAAUCGCUCCUCCGGGACAUGGCUCGAUUAUUUGUAACGCGAGAUCGUUAUCUCCUCGAUACAGCCCGAAUCGGAAAGAACGUCGGAAUGCCAGAACCGGAGAGAUCAGUCUUUCAUUUUCUUGGACAUUUGAAGACUAUAAUCGUAAAGUGAAACAAAUCGAAUUUCACAAAUGCUUAACUUCUAAAGAUAACGCAAGUUCGUUAAAGUUUUAAUUUUGAUUUAAUACAUACUAAUUAUCAGAUUUACUUACCCCGUUUGUUUGUAAAAUGUCAUGUCGUUCGCAUUCUAGGUGAUAAUUCUGUAAAGAAAUAAUCGUAGCGUGAUUGAUUAACGGAAACAUUGGUACUCUCGACAGGAAAUGACAGAGAAAUAUGAGGAAUAAUUACAAAAUAAUUCCAAAUGAGUAACGUCGAUGUCAUCGGUUUUUUGAAAGAAAGGAAUUAUCACAAAGAAAGAUGUAACAUGUAACCAACGUAUGUCAAAAUAAAUUUAGGAUAGACUUUAUCACAGAAGAAAAACUCGCAAGGAUGAUCAGUACUUCGUCAAGAUUUAUUUCGAAUGAAAUGUCACGUAGCGCAUAAAGAACCAAGACAACGAGUGCAAUAUGGAACGAGAAUUGAAGCCGGUAUAAUUUCAACCUUCUUAAUUCUUGCUAUAGAUACAAGCUAUUAGAAGUAAAAAAAAAUUUUGAUACAAUUUUCUUACGCAAAAAUCGGGCGUAAUAUAUAGAUUGUCUCUUACAGAAACAUAACUUUCACUCUAUAACAGUCUAUUUUACUUCACUAAUGUUAUAAUAUCUUUACUAUUAUUACUACGAUUUGCAAUAUUACUAUAAAUUACAUACGAUUCUAUUUUUAUUUAAUUAUCUAGAGAGAGAGACUUUACAUUAAGUAUUUUCAAAAAAUUGACUUACAUCAUUGUCACGUCACAUUCACGGAGAUCAGUUUCGCGCAUCUAUAGCAUGGAAAUUUGAAGCUAACGAAGUUCUACCGGUUUCAAUCCCGGAUAUAAACUGUAUGAUGAUUUAUGCGCAUGCAAUGCAUAUGCCUUCGCGACUCGGACAGUUAAUUAACGGAAGAAGCUUGGCGACAGGAAGCAAUGGAGUGUUCGCGUAAACACGUCGCAACAAGCGAUUGAACCUUAAUUCUACAAUCUUUACUCUUCGUCUGCCGUCCGAAUAGAUGGAUCCAUAAUAGUCGAAUUGGAAUACUUGCACGCGCUUACGUGACGCUUUAUAAAGUCGUUCGGUUUAAUUACAAUGACGAGUUUGCGUUCGGAGAGAAAACGAUUCUUAAUGAGACGAAAAAUUGCCGAGACUAUAAAAUACAAUUAUCGAGUGUGUACAUUCAGCCUUAAACGAUGGAUUUACAGUGCAAUUGUCAUGUCAAUUUAAAAUGGUAUGGACGCGAUUAAUCUGUACACAGGAUAUUCUCACUCGAGUCGUUUCAAUUAAUCACUAAUGCCCAAUUUCUUCAUGUCCAAUUAUCUUGCGGUUAAAAUUAUCCAGGAGAUAAACUAUCAGAUCCAUGUACGUGAUUGGUUAAACUUGAGAUUUAUCCUCCGGAUAACUUUAUCGGGAAGUGAAGAAAUCGGACAUAAAGAAAUUUUCAAACUUGGAAUCAAUCUCUUCUUGACUAUUUAAUUUUAAAUGAGACUUUAAUUCAUAAAAUUUUCAUCCUGAAUUUGUAACUUUAAUUGAAAUAAAACAAUUAAAAUUACAAUUAUGAAUGUCCCAGCGAGAAAUGUCCCACGAUAAUGAAUUCGACAUCAAUUCAACGUCGAAUCGACAUCGAAAUGAUGAUUUCGAUGUUGAAUCGAUGUCGAUUUGAUGUACUAUUUCUCACUGGGGUCAUUUCGGUUUUACAAAAAAAAAUCACUGUUAUAAUAACAAUUGUGCACAGUUAAUCAGUCUAUUACAUUUUACGUUUCAGAAUCAAGAGUUAUAUAAAGAAGUACAUGUAGAAAUAAGAAACUGUUUCUAUUACUCUUCCAAGAUGGGCAGCCUUUUCGUUGCACCUGACAGGCAUAAAUGUAUCAUCGUGUAAAAAAGCAGAAUGAAGUCUCGUGUUCUUUUUCUUUUCUAUCCGUGCGAAACUUACAUGCGACGUUACUACUGAGCACUAGAAGAGAUUAUUCUUAAGUACUAGGCAGUCAAGGUAAUAUGCAACAAUAAAAAAGAACACCGUGUAUGUAUACUCUAUUAUCGAGUGUUGACACUGGACAGAGGAAUUCGUCGACGCUUGCGAGAAGAAACAGCAAAGUAAAAGCAAAUUACGGCGCGCAGAUCGAUCUGCAUUUUAGCAGAACCGUCCUUCCGUGACCGCAAGGAUAGGAUAAUCAGGUACUAGGAACAGCCCCACACGGAGUCCCAAUCCUUUGAGAAAAAAAUCACGAUUGAGCUACAUCUGAUAUCGAGAGAUCUGACAAAACGAUACUUUUAUUCUGAAAGAUCUUAGAAUUUCGCAAAAAUCUCGUUUUAUUUCAUCGCAUGCAUCUCGAUUGGAAUGAGCAAAGAGUAAUAUAUCAAUCAUAUGUAUAUGAUUAUAUACAUCUAUAAUAUAGAAUUUCUUUCGCAAUACCAAGCGUCAUAUUAAUAAAUCUUGUUCGGUGAAUAUUGUGGUUGUACGUUGUACCUUCAAUUGUUUUACAAAAAGAAUAUCCGUGAACACAUGUCUGUGAGCAUACUUAAGUAUAUGCACAUUAACACAACCAUGACUACUUGAUACAAAGCAAUACCGUUUACCGAAAGAGUUACGGUGAUGAGGUAAUAACGAUUGGUAAUUCCCAAAGGACAGGAACCUCCGCUCCGAACGCUGCCCGCACGAGGAUUCAUUAUGAUUAAAUAUAAUACACACCGUCAUAUAUAUAGAUAUAUAUAUAUAUAUUAAUUACAAUAAUUAUAGUAUUAAUUAAGAAUUAUGUUAAUAAUUAUUUAACCACGUGUAUGGCUCAGUCUAUUAAGCUAGUCUCAUGCAACAACAACAAUAAAGAUACAACAAUAUAUUUA
This 13466-nucleotide unclassified non-coding RNA is filed under the name Monomorium pharaonis (pharaoh ant). RNAcentral describes it as "short stature homeobox protein 2, transcript variant X1". Lineage: Eukaryota; Metazoa; Arthropoda; Insecta; Hymenoptera; Formicidae. The record is from RNAcentral.